CACCCACUCAAGCCUGGCUUGGUGUUGGGCGCCGCGGCCCGCCGCGCGCCUCAAUGUCUGCCGGCCGAACCGUCCGUCUCCAAGCGUUGUGGCACACACCUUUUCGCUUCGGGAGCUCGGGGGGCGUCGCGCCGUUAAACCUCACUACA
Molecule: unclassified non-coding RNA, 149 nt
Filed under: uncultured Capnodiales
Lineage: Eukaryota; Fungi; Ascomycota; Dothideomycetes; Capnodiales
Description: sequence contains ITS2
Source: RNAcentral